This 440-nucleotide ribosomal RNA is filed under the name uncultured bacterium. RNAcentral's name for it is "bacterial SSU rRNA". It matches the Rfam family "Bacterial small subunit ribosomal RNA", at positions 338 to 795 of the family's 1533-position model. The record is from RNAcentral.
CCUACGGGGUGCAGCAGUGGGGAAUAUUGGACAAUGGGCGCAAGCCUGAUCCAGCCAUGCCGCGUGAGUGAAGAAGGCCUUAGGGUUGUAAAGCUCUUUCACCGGUGAAGAUAAUGACGGUAACCGGAGAAGAAGCCCCGGCUAACUUCGUGCCAGCAGCCGCGGUAAUACGAAGGGGGCUAGCGUUGCUCGGAAUGACUGGGCGUAAAGGGCGCGUAGGCGGUUUAUGCAGUCAGAUGCGAAAUCCCCGGGCUUAACCUGGGAACUGCAUUUGAGACGCAUAGACUAGAGGUCGAGAGAGGGUUGUGGAAUUCCCAGUGUAGAGGUGAAAUUCGUAGAUAUUCGGAGGAACACCAGUGGCGAAGGCGGCUUACUGGUCUGCAACUGACGCUGAGGCGCGAAAGCGUGGGGAGCAAACAGGAUUAGAUACCCGUGUAGUC